Molecule: long non-coding RNA, 1493 nt
Filed under: Olea europaea (common olive)
Lineage: Eukaryota; Viridiplantae; Streptophyta; Magnoliopsida; Lamiales; Oleaceae
Description: long non-coding RNA (OEUR_LNC007553)
Source: RNAcentral
UAGAAUCAAAGAUAAUAUCAGAAUUAGUUUAAUAUCUUAAUAUUUCAUUCUAUGCACAUAAAAAUACAUAAAAGAAAUAAGUAGUUCAAAUAAAAUUUAUCUAAUAGAAGGUAAAAUUCACACCAUUUAAAGAAAAUUACUUAUCCUAAUAGCAAAAUAAACAGUGUUUAAAAAACUAAACAUAGAUGAAGCUAUUUUCCUUUGUUUGAUUCCAUCAUCCAACAUUGUAAUCAUCCAAUUCAUAGAAAACUUGCCCCUCAUGGGGUAGCCGAAUUGGUGGAGUAAGUAAGUGCGGAGGCCUUUGGUCACAAGUUCAAUACCCCCUACCAACACUUUCUCGGUCAGGUCUGUCGCAUAGGGUUUGUUUAGUGCAAUUUACCUGACUGACAUGAUUUGCAGGCUAUUGCGUCAGUCCGAGGUUUUAUCCAGUAUGCACCUGAAUGAUAGCGGCUGCAGACUCCCCCGUCAUAUUAUUUAAAAAAAAAAAAACAUUGAAAACUCAGUCGCCAAUGCACAUAAAUUAUUUUCAUGAUUAGUUCUGCCCUAACUUUUAUACAUACAAAAACUGAUAAUUUAAAAAGCUACAGAAAGUCAAAUUUUCUAACCAUCCAAUUGAGAGAAAUGGUAAACCCAAUCUUAAAUGCACUUACAAUAUAUUAUAGUUCUUAAGUAGCCACUAAAUUUUAAUGGUUAAAAAAAAUUAGAGAAACAGAAAUUUAGCAGAACUCUCGUCUUCUUCAUUUCCUAAACCUUUAGGUGCAUUUCAAUAGAAAUAUAUAAUCAAGUAGUCUAUGAGUGUCCCCGGCAUUCAUAUAGAUUCAUUUUUUAACACAUAAAAUCUAUACAAAACUGAAAAAAUCAAAAAUAAAAAACCUAUAAGCAGAGCUGAAUCAUCAGUGGCAUCAACAUCUACAGCGGCGCGUUGGAAGGGAUUAGCAUAAGGAAGAAUCUACAGGUAGCGUAUGUAAAUGCGAGUAGCAGAAAAAUUCACCAAAACACCAUCAUAUCUGAAUCACAACACUAUUUAUCCUAAAAGGACAAUCAUAAAUCAUAAAGAAAACUAUAAUGAACACUCCAAGUGGAAAUUGCUUGAAUAAAUCAUUUAAGCUUCAAAGAAAAUUAAAGAAAUUACUCACAACAGAAAUUGAAAAGUGAAGAAAAAAAAAAAAAAAAUUAGAAUGACUUUUAAAAUCCCUUCGAAAAAAAGCAAUAAAUGAAAUCUCAACACCAAACAAAAUGGAAACUUAUCCGAAGGAGCUUGUGUCACCACUUGACGACGCCACUGUAAAUUUUCUGCCUUUUUGAGAACGUUUCACAAAACUUCAAACUAAAAGAAAACAAAGAUCGAACAUAGAAGCAUUAGGGUUGAUAGAACCGGAAGAAAGAUAUAGAAGAAUGUAGUUUUGAGGAUAUCUCAAUCUUUUGGAUUUUUUUGGGGUUAUUUUGUCGAGGGAAAGAAGUGAGAGAAUUGAAAUUAUUUUUGAAAAACUUAC